GGAGUGAUGGCUCAGUGGUUAAGAGCACUGGCUGUUCUUCCGGAGGACCUGGGUUCAGAUCCCAGCACUUCC
This is a non-coding RNA of Rattus norvegicus (Norway rat), 72 nucleotides long. The record is from Rfam. NCBI's taxonomy places the organism in Eukaryota, Metazoa, Chordata, Mammalia, Rodentia, Muridae.